GACGAACGCUGGCGGCGUGCUUAACACAUGCAAGUCGAACGAAGAGCGAUGGAAGCUUGCUUCUAUCAAUCUUAGUGGCGCACGGGUGAGUAACGCGUAAUCAACCUGCCCUUCAGAGGGGGACAACAGUUGGAAACGACUGCUAAUACCGCAUACGAUCUAAUCUCGGCAUCGAGGAUAGAUGAAAGGUGGCCUCUACAUGUAAGCUAUCACUGAAGGAGGGGAUUGCGUCUGAUUAGCUAGUUGGAGGGGUAACGGCCCACCAAGGCGAUGAUCGGUAGCCGGUCUGAGGGGAUGAACCGCCCCAAUUGGACUGGGAAACGGCCCAGACUCCUACGGGAGGCAGCAGUGGGGAAUCUUCCGCAAUGGACGAAAGUCUGACGGGGCAACGCCGCGUGAGGGAUGACGGCCUUCGGGUUGUAAAGCUCUGUUAAUCGGGACGAAAGGACUUCUUGCGAACAGUUAGAAGGAUUGACGGUACCGGAAUAGAAAGCCACGGCUAACUACGUG
This 510-nucleotide ribosomal RNA is filed under the name uncultured bacterium. RNAcentral describes it as "partial 16S ribosomal RNA". It matches the Rfam family "Bacterial small subunit ribosomal RNA", at positions 28 to 507 of the family's 1533-position model. The record is from RNAcentral.